This 253-nucleotide ribosomal RNA is filed under the name uncultured bacterium. RNAcentral describes it as "partial 16S ribosomal RNA". It matches the Rfam family "Archaeal small subunit ribosomal RNA", at positions 474 to 727 of the family's 1478-position model. The record is from RNAcentral.
UACCAGCACCCCGAGUGGUCGGGACGAUUAUUGGGUCUAAAGCAUCCGUAGCCGGUUCUACAAGUCUUCCGUUAAAUCCACCUGCUUAACAGAUGGGCUGCGGAGGAUACUAUAGAGCUAGGAGGCGGGAGAGGCAAGCGGUACUUAGUGGGUAGGGGUAAAAUCCGUUGAUCCAUUGAAGACCACCAGUGGCGAAGGCGGCUUGCCAGAACGCACUCGACGGUGAGGGAUGAAAGCUGGGGGAGCAAACCGG